Molecule: ribosomal RNA, 466 nt
Filed under: uncultured bacterium
Lineage: Bacteria
Description: partial 16S ribosomal RNA
Rfam family: Bacterial small subunit ribosomal RNA
Source: RNAcentral
GACGAACGCUGGCGGCGCGCCUAACACAUGCAAGUCGAACGAGCGAGAGAGAGCUUGCUUUCUUGAGCGAGUGGCGAACGGGUGAGUAACGCGUGAGGAACCUGCCUCAAAGAGGGGGACAACAGUUGGAAACGACUGCUAAUACCGCAUAAGCCCACGGUGCCGCAUGGCACAGAGGGAAAAGGAGCAAUCCGCUUUGAGAUGGCCUCGCGUCCGAUUAGCUAGUUGGUGAGGUAACGGCCCACCAAGGCGACGAUCGGUAGCCGGACUGAGAGGUUGAAAGGCCACAUUGGGACUGAGACACGGCCCAGACUCCUACGGGAGGCAGCAGUGGGGAAUAUUGCACAAUGGGGGAAACCCUGAUGCAGCGACGCCGCGUGGAGGAAGAAGGUCUUCGGAUUGUAAACUCCUGUUGUUGGGGAAGAUAAUGACGGUACCCAACAAGGAAGUGACGGCUAACUACGUG